UACGAAGGGUGCAAGCGUUACUCGGAAUUACUGGGCGUAAAGCGUGCGUAGGUGGUCUGUUAAGUCUGAUGUGAAAGCCCUGGGCUCAACCUGGGAAUUGCAUUGGAUACUGGCAGGCUAGAGUGCGGUAGAGGAUGGCGGAAUUCCCGGUGUAGCAGUGAAAUGCGUAGAGAUCGGGAGGAACAUCUGUGGCGAAGGCGGCCAUCUGGACCAGCACUGACACUGAGGCACGAAAGCGUGGGGAGCAAACAGG
Molecule: ribosomal RNA, 253 nt
Filed under: uncultured bacterium
Lineage: Bacteria
Description: partial 16S ribosomal RNA
Rfam family: Bacterial small subunit ribosomal RNA
Source: RNAcentral